RNAcentral lists this long non-coding RNA (637 nucleotides) under Olea europaea subsp. europaea. Lineage: Eukaryota; Viridiplantae; Streptophyta; Magnoliopsida; Lamiales; Oleaceae. The record is from RNAcentral.
GUAGUAAUCACCUUGAAGGCUACGUAGUAAUCACCUUGAAGGUACUCAAAUAAUCUCGUCACCUUCUGCCAGUAGUCAAACACAAUGUACGCUAACAUAAACCAAAACAACAAUACAAUAAAGACACAAGCCCAAAAUCAUCAAUACACCUAUGCCAAAUAUUUGUAGAUUAAACUCCAAUUCAAAUUACCCGCAAUAUUUUUAGAAUACCAAUGUAGUAAUUAAAAUUAAUUUGGCUACACGAUCCACUUCUGGUGUCACGCUUCAAUGCCAUGAAUGGUGGAAUUAACCCGAUAAAUGCGAUAUCAAUUUACACAAUCCCCAAUUAUAUGCCCCUAAACAUCGUAUAAAGUAUGAAGCAAAUUAUGGAAGAGAAAUGAAUCAUUAAAGUUUUUGCCCAGGAAAUUGCCGGUGAAGAGGUCAUCGAUGACGCCACUCCGACGGCAAUAUUCAUGUUAUCGGCCUCCGAGCCCUCCCUAUUCAAAUAACUCUUACCCUCAGAAUCCUUGGCCUCCCAUGAAGACUAUUGGGAUAAUUUCUUUCUCUUUGUUUGAAUUUGCAUACUAAAUCUGGACACUACUUGAACAUAAAAUUGAAAUCAAAUUACAGGGUUUCUUAAGGGAAACUGGGAUUUGCU